This 279-nucleotide ribosomal RNA is filed under the name uncultured bacterium. Its description in RNAcentral is "partial 16S ribosomal RNA". It matches the Rfam family "Bacterial small subunit ribosomal RNA", at positions 506 to 784 of the family's 1533-position model. The record is from RNAcentral.
UGCCAGCCGCCGCGGUAACACGGGGGGCGCAAGCGUCAUUCGGAAUUAUUGGGCGUAAAGAGUACGUAGGCGGCCUUGUAGGUGAGAUGUGAAAUCCCACGGCUCAACCGUGGAAUUGCGUUUCAAACCACAAGGCUUGAGGGAGACAGGGGUGAGCGGAACUGAUGGUGGAGCGGUGAAAUGCGUUGAUAUCAUCAGGAACACCGGUGGCGAAGGCGGCUCACUGGGUCUCUUCUGACGCUGAGGUACGAAAGCUAGGGUAGCGAACGGGAUUAGAUA